RNAcentral lists this ribosomal RNA (207 nucleotides) under Crematogaster flavomicrops. Its description in RNAcentral is "partial large subunit ribosomal RNA". The record is from RNAcentral. Lineage: Eukaryota; Metazoa; Arthropoda; Insecta; Hymenoptera; Formicidae.
GAAUUUUAUAUAAAUUAAUUAUAAGGUAAGUUAUUGGAUAGCUAAUUUAUAUUUGAUUGGGAGGAUUAUUAAAUUAAAUGAACUUUAAUUAGAUAAAUAAUAUGAAUUAAUGAAUUUAAGAAUGGUUAGUAAAUUAAAUAAGAAUUAAUUACCUUAGGGAUAACAGCGUAAUAUUUUUGGAGAGUUCCUAUUAAUAAAAAUGUUUGC